AGAGUUUGAUCCUGGCUCAGGAUGAACGCUGGCGGCGUGCCUAACACAUGCAAGUCGAGCGGAGUUAUUUUCAGGAAGCUUUCGGGUGGAAUGAACUUAACUUAGCGGCGGACGGGUGAGUAACGCGUGGGCAACCUACCCUGUACAGGGGGAUAACAAUGGGAAACCAUUGCUAAUACCCCAUAAUACCUUUUAGAGGCAUCUCUUUAAGGUCAAAGAAUUUCGGUACAGGAUGGGCCCGCGUCUGAUUAGCUAGUUGGUGAGGUAAUGGCUCACCAAGGCGACGAUCAGUAGCCGGCCUGAGAGGGUGAACGGCCACACUGGAACUGAGACACGGUCCAGACUCCUACGGGAGGCAGCAGUGGGGAAUAUUGCACAAUGGGCGAAAGCCUGAUGCAGCAACGCCGCGUGAGCGAUGAAGGCUUUCGGGUCGUAAAGCUCUGUCCUAAGGGAAGAUAAUGACGGUACCUUAGGAGGAAGCCCCGGCUAACUACGUGCCAGCAGCCGCGGUAAUAC
Molecule: ribosomal RNA, 516 nt
Filed under: uncultured Clostridiaceae bacterium
Lineage: Bacteria; Bacillati; Bacillota; Clostridia; Eubacteriales; Clostridiaceae
Description: bacterial SSU rRNA
Rfam family: Bacterial small subunit ribosomal RNA
Source: RNAcentral